RNAcentral lists this ribosomal RNA (497 nucleotides) under uncultured bacterium. RNAcentral describes it as "partial 16S ribosomal RNA". It matches the Rfam family "Bacterial small subunit ribosomal RNA", at positions 28 to 507 of the family's 1533-position model. The record is from RNAcentral.
GAUGAACGCUGGCGGCGUGCCUAAUACAUGCAAGUCGAGCGAACAGAUGAGGAGCUUGCUCCUCUGACGUUAGCGGCGGACGGGUGAGUAACACGUAGAUAACCUACCUAUAAGACUGGGAUAACUUCGGGAAACCGGAGCUAAUACCGGAUAAUAUAUUGAACCGCAUGGUUCAAUAGUGAAAGACGGUUUUGCUGUCACUUAUAGAUGGAUCCGCGCCGCAUUAGCUAGUUGGUAAGGUAACGGCUUACCAAGGCAACGAUGCGUAGCCGACCUGAGAGGGUGAUCGGCCACACUGGAACUGAGACACGGUCCAGACUCCUACGGGAGGCAGCAGUAGGGAAUCUUCCGCAAUGGGCGAAAGCCUGACGGAGCAACGCCGCGUGAGUGAUGAAGGUCUUCGGAUCGUAAAACUCUGUUAUUAGGGAAGAACAAAUGUGAAAGUAACUAUGCACGUCUUGACGGUACCUAAUCAGAAAGCCACGGCUAACUACGUG